Molecule: ribosomal RNA, 426 nt
Filed under: uncultured Azovibrio sp.
Lineage: Bacteria; Pseudomonadati; Pseudomonadota; Betaproteobacteria; Rhodocyclales; Rhodocyclaceae
Description: bacterial SSU rRNA
Rfam family: Bacterial small subunit ribosomal RNA
Source: RNAcentral
GGGGAAUUUUGGACAAUGGGGGCAACCCUGAUCCAGCCAUGCCGCGUGAGUGAAGAAGGCCUUCGGGUUGUAAAGCUCUUUCGGCCGGGAAGAAAUCGUGCAGGCUAAUACCCUGUAUGGAUGACGGUACCGGAAUAAGAAGCACCGGCUAACUACGUGCCAGCAGCCGCGGUAAUACGUAGGGUGCGAGCGUUAAACGGAAUUACUGGGCGUAAAGCGUGCGUAGGCGGUGUUUUAAGACAGGCGUGAAAUCCCCGGGCGCAACCUGGGAACUCCGCAUGUGACUGCAAGACUAUAGUACGGCAGAGGGGGGUGGGAUUCCCCGUGUAGCAGUGAAAUGCGUAGAGAUGUGGAGGAACACCAAUGGCGAAGGCAGCCCCCUCGGUCGAUACUGACGCUCAUGCACGAAAGCGUGGGGAGCAAACA